AACGAACGCUGGCGGCAGGCCUAACACAUGCAAGUCGAGCGAACCCUUCGGGGUUAGCGGCGGACGGGUUAGUAACGCGUGGGAAUAUACCCUUUGGUACGGAAUAGCCUCGGGAAACUGAGAGUAAUACCGUAUGUGCCCUUCGGGGAAAGAUUAUCGCCAAAGGAUUAGCCCGCGUUGGAUUAGAUAGUUGGUGGGGUAAUGGCCUACCAAGUCUACGAUCCAUAGCUGGUUUGAGAGGAUGAUCAGCAACACUGGGACUGAGACACGGCCCAGACUCCUACGGGAGGCAGCAGUGGGGAAUCUUAGACAAUGGGCGCAAGCCUGAUCUAGCCAUGCCGCGUGGACGAUGAAGGCCUUAGGGUUGUAAAGUCCUUUUCAGAUGGGAAGAUAAUGACGGUACCAUCAGAAGAAGCCCGGCUAACUCCGUG
RNAcentral lists this ribosomal RNA (431 nucleotides) under uncultured bacterium. RNAcentral's name for it is "bacterial SSU rRNA". It matches the Rfam family "Bacterial small subunit ribosomal RNA", at positions 29 to 507 of the family's 1533-position model. The record is from RNAcentral.